This 811-nucleotide ribosomal RNA is filed under the name Campylobacter sp. RNAcentral describes it as "bacterial SSU rRNA". It matches the Rfam family "Bacterial small subunit ribosomal RNA", at positions 646 to 1461 of the family's 1533-position model. The record is from RNAcentral. Lineage: Bacteria; Pseudomonadati; Campylobacterota; Epsilonproteobacteria; Campylobacterales; Campylobacteraceae.
ACGGGAGCAGGCAGAUGGAAUUGGUGGUGUAGGGGUAAAAUCCGUAGAUAUCACCAAGAAUACCCAUUGCGAAGGCGAUCUGCUGGAACUCAACUGACGCUAAGGCGCGAAAGCGUGGGGAGCAAACAGGAUUAGAUACCCUGGUAGUCCACGCCCUAAACGAUGUACACUAGUUGUUGGGGUGCUAGUCAUCUCAGUAAUGCAGCUAACGCAUUAAGUGUACCGCCUGGGGAGUACGGUCGCAAGAUUAAAACUCAAAGGAAUAGACGGGGACCCGCACAAGCGGUGGAGCAUGUGGUUUAAUUCGAAGAUACGCGAAGAACCUUACCUGGGCUUGAUAUCCUAAGAACCUUUUAGAGAUAAGAGGGUGCUAGCUUGCUAGAACUUAGAGACAGGUGCUGCACGGCUGUCGUCAGCUCGUGUCGUGAGAUGUUGGGUUAAGUCCCGCAACGAGCGCAACCCACGUAUUUAGUUGCUAACGGUUCGGCCGAGCACUCUAAAUAGACUGCCUUCGUAAGGAGGAGGAAGGUGUGGACGACGUCAAGUCAUCAUGGCCCUUAUGCCCAGGGCGACACACGUGCUACAAUGGCAUAUACAAUGAGACGCAAUACCGCGAGGUGGAGCAAAUCUAUAAAAUAUGUCCCAGUUCGGAUUGUUCUCUGCAACUCGAGAGCAUGAAGCCGGAAUCGCUAGUAAUCGUAGAUCAGCCAUGCUACGGUGAAUACGUUCCCGGGUCUUGUACUCACCGCCCGUCACACCAUGGGAGUUGAUUUCACUCGAAGCCGGAAUACUAAACUAGUUACCGUCCAAA